CGAGCAGGUGGCUUGUGGAACAGGUUGAGU
RNAcentral lists this non-coding RNA (30 nucleotides) under Homo sapiens (human). Lineage: Eukaryota; Metazoa; Chordata; Mammalia; Primates; Hominidae. The record is from RNAcentral.